CUCAUACGUUUACCGUCAGGUCCCGAAGCGGCGUCUCCCAGCGGAGCCGAAGCCCAGGGUGAAAAGGGAAGCCGGUGCAAAUCCGGCACGGUCCCGCCACUGUAAUACGGAGAUCGUCUUACGAUGCCACUGUCCGCGCGCGGAUGGGAAGGCAAGACGGUCAGUCAUCCGUAAGUCAGGAGACCUGCCUGCCGGUUUGCAGCACA
Molecule: non-coding RNA, 206 nt
Filed under: Paenibacillus sp.
Lineage: Bacteria; Bacillati; Bacillota; Bacilli; Caryophanales; Paenibacillaceae
Also listed under: 1 other name
Source: RNAcentral